AGAAAUAAAUGUGUGUUGGCAGAAAGACAAACCCUGAGAUGAAGCAGGAGGCACUUCUGGAUCCAGCUGUGUGAUAGCCGCACUAGGAAAUACCUGGAGUCACAGUGUGAAUACCCGGCUGAUUCUCCAGUACCUUGAUUCAGAGAGAAGACAGAUUCUUAUUGCCAAGUCCCCUCUGGCUCCCUUCACCUCAUUUGUCUACACCAUCGAGGAGGAAGGCCUGGUUCUUCAAGCCUAUGGAAAUUCCUAGAGACAGAGAAAUGUGCAAACCUGUUCAUCUUGCCAAGAAAAAUCCGCUUUUCUGCCACAGAAACAAAAUAUUGGGAAAGAGUCUUGUGGUGAAACACCCAUUGUUCUCUGCUAAAACGUUUGUUUGCUACUGUGUAGACUCAGCUUUAGUCAUGGAAUUCUAGAGGAUGUAUCUCACAAGUGGGAUCAAGAACAAGCCCGACAGUAAUCUGCACCAUAAGUUGAUUUGAUACCAUGGCACUGACAAUGGGCACACAGGGAACGGGAAGUGGGAAUGAGA
Molecule: small RNA, 529 nt
Filed under: Pongo abelii (Sumatran orangutan)
Lineage: Eukaryota; Metazoa; Chordata; Mammalia; Primates; Hominidae
Description: processed transcript
Source: RNAcentral